Molecule: non-coding RNA, 460 nt
Organism: Oncorhynchus mykiss (rainbow trout)
Lineage: Eukaryota; Metazoa; Chordata; Actinopteri; Salmoniformes; Salmonidae
Source: RefSeq, a predicted model, not a curated record
GGUAAAGGCUAAGGGAGGAUGGUAAAGGCUAAGGGAGGAUGGUAAAGGCUAAGGGAGGAUGGUAAAGACUAAGGGAGGAUGGUAAAGGCUAAGGGAGGAUGGUAAAGGCUAAGGGAGGAUGGUAAAGGCUAAGGGAGGAUGGUAAAGGCUAAGGGAGGAUGGUAAAGGCUAAGGGAGGAUGGUUAAGGGUGGAUGGUAAAGGUUAAGGGAGGAUGGUAAAGGCUAAGGGAGGAUGGGGAGGAUGGUAAAGGCUAAGGGAGGAUGGUAAAGGCUAAGGGAGGAUGGUAAAGGCUAAGGGAGGAUGGCAAAGACUAAGGAAGGAUGGUAAAGGCUAAGGGAGGAUGAUAAAGGCUAAGGGAGGAUGGUAAAGGCUAAGGGAGGAUGGUAAAGACUAAGGGAGGAUGGCAAAGACUAAGGGAGGAUGGUAAAAGCUAAGGGAGGAUGGUAAAGGCUAAGGGAG